UAGGGAAUCUUCGGCAAUGGACGAAAGUCUGACCGAGCAACGCCGCGUGAGUGAAGAAGGUUUUCGGAUCGUAAAACUCUGUUGUUAGAGAAGAACAAGGACGUUAGUAACUGAACGUCCCCUGACGGUAUCUAACCAGAAAGCCACGGCUAACUACGUGCCAGCAGCCGCGGUAAUACGUAGGUGGCAAGCGUUGUCCGGAUUUAUUGGGCGUAAAGCGAGCGCAGGCGGUUUCUUAAGUCUGAUGUGAAAGCCCCCGGCUCAACCGGGGAGGGUCAUUGGAAACUGGGAGACUUGGGUGCAGAAGAGGAGAGUGGAAUUCGAUGUGUAGCGGUGAAAUGCGUAGAUAUAUGGAGGACCACCAGUGGCGAAGGCGGCUGUCUGGUCUGUAACUGACGCUGAGGCUCGAAAGCGUGGGGAGCAAACAGG
This 429-nucleotide ribosomal RNA is filed under the name Gemmatimonadota bacterium. Its description in RNAcentral is "Gemmatimonadetes bacterium partial 16S ribosomal RNA". It matches the Rfam family "Bacterial small subunit ribosomal RNA", at positions 355 to 776 of the family's 1533-position model. The record is from RNAcentral. Lineage: Bacteria; Pseudomonadati; Gemmatimonadota.